Molecule: ribosomal RNA, 497 nt
Filed under: uncultured bacterium
Lineage: Bacteria
Description: partial 16S ribosomal RNA
Rfam family: Bacterial small subunit ribosomal RNA
Source: RNAcentral
GAUGAACGCUGGCGGCGUGCCUAAUACAUGCAAGUCGAGCGAACAGACGAGGAGCUUGCUCCUCUGACGUUAGCGGCGGACGGGUGAGUAACACGUGGAUAACCUACCUAUAAGACUGGGAUAACUUCGGGAAACCGGAGCUAAUACCGGAUAAUAUAUUGAACCGCAUGGUUCAAUAGUGAAAGACGGUUUUGCUGUCACUUAUAGAUGGAUCCGCGCCGCAUUAGCUAGUUGGUAAGGUAACGGCUUACCAAGGCGACGAUGCGUAGCCGACGUGAGAGGGGGAUAGCCGACAUGGGAGCGGGAACGGGGACAUGGGUACUGCGGGAGGGCGCAGAAGGGUACGUUCGGCAGUGGGCGAGAACAUUGCGCAGCGGGCGGGGGGGAGAGAUAAAGUUGUCGGGUGCGUAAAAAUGGUUUAUGGGGGAAAAAAAAAUUUGAAAGUAAAUGAACAGUGCUUGACGGUACCGAAUAAAAAAGCCACGGCUAACUACGUG